AGGGACCGGUGCCUUGUGCCAGAGAGUGACCCGAUCCGUAUUUCACAGCAGCUGAAAACCACAUCUCACUCUUGGAGCCAACCCUGCCCGGGAGGGUCUC
Long non-coding RNA from Sceloporus undulatus (fence lizard), 100 nucleotides. RefSeq lists it as uncharacterized. The transcript has 3 exons. The record is from RefSeq and is a predicted model, not a curated record. NCBI's taxonomy places the organism in Eukaryota, Metazoa, Chordata, Lepidosauria, Squamata, Phrynosomatidae.